Homo sapiens (human) is the source of this 2574-nucleotide long non-coding RNA. Ensembl annotates it as BAALC antisense RNA 1. Its record names the gene BAALC-AS1. NCBI's taxonomy places the organism in Eukaryota, Metazoa, Chordata, Mammalia, Primates, Hominidae. The record is from Ensembl.
GGGAGAUGGAACCCUGAGCAGCCCAUGUACAUGGAAGAUCUUUAUUGCAGAGAUCUUCAAACCAGGAAACUGAGGCUAAAGAGUUUAGUAUUCUGCCAAGGCCAGCUAAUAGUUACAGAGCAUGGUUCCAAAUUCAGAGCUGUCGGAAGCUUAAGCCCAUGUGAUGAACCACGAAUGUGAUUUUACCUCAUUUAAGCCUUGCAGCAAACUCUGCCAACUAGUGUGCAUUUACUCCUGCCUCUCCAUGCCUGAAGGAAGGAAUGAAGAGGUCUCUGCUGUCCAUCUGAGCCAGUGACUGGGCUGUCUCUACCAGGCCAGAAUUUGGGGCAGGCAAGAUUUUCAGCAUCCCUAAAAUCACACUAAGAAGAUAAACAUGGAAACAGCUUGGAGCUGCCCUACCCAUAGUGAGGUGGUACUGACUGGAAGACAGCUUAAACGAUUUGGAGAAAAGUGGAAUACAUUAAUCUCAGAAAACUCUACCACCUGUAGAAAGAGAGCUAAAAUGGAGACAACCACAGGCAGUCUAAGAUACGCUGAACUACUACAGAAAAUAAUGCAGCAUGAAGGAAUGCUGGAAGGUAUGGGGUCAGAGCAAGCUGAUGGAGGGUCCUUCAUUUCCAAGCCACGAGUACAGCAGGAUGUAAGGCUUAGUUCAUAAGAACAUCUCCUGAAAGACAAUCUCUAUAAAAACUGUUUCAAUAGAAAGAAUGCAAGAUGUAACUGUUUAAUAAUAGGACUGAUAUUUUAAAAAACAAAUGAACGUAAUAGAAGACUAGAUGGAUGUGCUUCUCAAAGUCCUCUCUGUGGGAGGCUUCAUCCUCACUCUAGAUGUGUUGCCUGUAGCAGCUGUUAUUGAUUACCCGCCCAUAGCCUAUCCAUACUUACUCAUCAUUCCUUUACCUACCAGUGGCAUCCUAUUGGAAGCACCUGCGACUUUCUUAGGGCUUUCUCUUGGCCAAGCAUUGGAAGGCCAGCAGUAUUGAAAAGUUAAUAGUCUUGGAAGCACUGGCCCUCAACUAAUGACAAAGAAAAAAUAUAAGAUAAAUUCCCCAGCUUCCUUGCCUCCUGAAUGGGUCAAGUCUGUGGUGUGUUCUACCCGUUUUUCAGAGGUCCCAUGUUUUAAACCCUAGCUGCUCAAGGCAAUUUCCUGAUCAUUGAUGUACUCUCUAUUGGCUAAUUUUUAGAUAAUAUGGAAUAUGCUCAAAAUAGGAUACUCAAAGAAAAAAUCAGAUGCCAAAAUUAUGUACACCGAAUGAGUUCAAUUCUGUAUAAGUGUGGACAUACACACAUCAAAAGAAAUAUGGAACAAAAGAUACUAAAUGUUUAUAGUGGUUAUUUCUGGGUGUUGAAAUUUUAAGUGAUUUUCCUUUUCUUCUUUGUAAUUGUCUCUAUUUUUCAGUUUUUUCAAUAUACCCUGUAUUUCUUUUAAAAUCAGAACAAACCACCAUAAGUUAUUUUAAAAGGCUUAUAAAGCUGAUGAAUAUUUUGUCUUUGUUUCCUUUGUGUUGCCAUAGUCUGAGGGAGUAGUUCUCAAGUGUAGUCUCUGGACCAGCAGCAUCAACAUUACCUGGGAACUUGUUAGAAAUGCAAAUUCUCAGAGGAUGCCUAGGACCUUCUGAAUAAGAAACCCUCGGGGUUGGGGGUGAAGGGGACAGCAAUCGGCAUUUUAAGAAGCUCUCCAGGUGAUUUUUAUGCACAUUGAAGUUUGUGAACCACUGGUCUAAAGAUAACUUUUAUUACACCUACCUGUUAGUCCCCACUAAAGCUCCCUGGGUGGGGUCCAAAAAUUUCAGUCAUGUAAAAUGCAGGAUUGCAUUUUUGUGGGGUUGGCAAACUGAUUGGGAUGAGCCUGCUGAGUAAGAUGAAAGCUCAUUACAGUUGUCUUAUGUCUGAAUUCAUUGUAGGGCAAAUUAUGUUGGGGUUUCAUCAUAAAUAUAUUGGUCUGCAGAGUUUAUAUAUUCUGUAUUGAAAUCUAUGGUGCAUUUAAUAGGCAGAAGGCUAGACUAAUUUAAAUCUAAUCUGAUGAUCACGGAGACUGCUUGACACCUGUGAUGUUUCACAGGCUUGGAGAAAGUUUUGUUUUCUUUAUACCUUUAUUUUCUACUUGCCUGGUGGCUUCAUUUCCUUAGUUUGAUUUUUCUUCCAUAAUUCUUCUCUCUUUCCCCCAAUUAUGCAAAGAUAGUGGAUUUCAAUAUUUUGUGGAAAAAACUACCAUCCCUUGGAUUUGAGAGGCCCCUCCUCAGUUUCCCCCAUGGAGCUUUUGUUUUCCAGUGUGUUACAUUAGUUGUUUGUGAAUCUGUCUUCUCCCCCACCAAAUGGAGGCCCUAAAUGCCAUGUGAGCAGGGACAGUGACUUAUACCUCCUUGCAUGCUUGGUUCUUAGCACAGGGCCUGGCAGAGACAGCAAGAACUCAAAACAUAUUGGUGAAUGAGUGAAUGAUGAUGCUGUAAUUCAAGACACACAUUCAUUUAUUUAGCAUUAAAAUGUUUUACAUAGCAAAUAUUAAUACAAGAAAUGCAUGCCAGGAACUUAACCUACAUUCAUUUUAAUAUGUGAAGAAUAGGAAUAUGUGUA